AGCUGACAUAUUUUGCAUCAUCUAACAACUGCAGCAAGUGUUGCAGCUCUGUUCUGGAGCCUCUUUCCUGUAUUUGCAUCAUGUGUCUUUUCCUAUAUACAAGUGUGGCAUCAACAACAGACUCUGGAUUUUGAUCUUUCAAAUCUAAAACAAUGUGUCUUGGUGCUACUUUACGCUUUGUCAAAUCUUGAACACGUUUGUUUUCAUCUGCGGUUAAAUGUGCCUUGCGAGGAUGACCAUGAU
RNAcentral lists this long non-coding RNA (243 nucleotides) under Trifolium pratense (red clover). Its description in RNAcentral is "long non-coding RNA (TPRA_LNC004200)". The record is from RNAcentral. Lineage: Eukaryota; Viridiplantae; Streptophyta; Magnoliopsida; Fabales; Fabaceae.